CCCUUAGAUGUUCUGGGCCGCACGCGCGCUACACUGACUGGUGCAACAAGUGUCGCCCCUUGGCCGAUAGGCCUGGGCAAUCUUUGAACGCCAGUCGUGAUGGGGAUAGAUUCUUGCAAUUUUUGAUCUUCAACGAGGAAUUCCUAGUAAACGCGAGUCAUCAACUCGCAUUGAUUACGUCCCUGCCCUUUGUACACACCGCCCGUCGCACCUACCGAUUGAAUGGUCCGGUGAACCCUCCGGAUCGGCCCGCGCCAACGCAAGUUGAGCAAAGGCCGAGAAGUUGGGUAAACCUUACCAUUUAGAGGAAGGUGAAGUCGUAACA
This 325-nucleotide ribosomal RNA is filed under the name uncultured eukaryote. Its description in RNAcentral is "partial 18S ribosomal RNA". It matches the Rfam family "Eukaryotic small subunit ribosomal RNA", at positions 1470 to 1796 of the family's 1831-position model. The record is from RNAcentral.